Molecule: ribosomal RNA, 297 nt
Filed under: uncultured bacterium
Lineage: Bacteria
Description: partial 16S ribosomal RNA
Rfam family: Bacterial small subunit ribosomal RNA
Source: RNAcentral
UGGAAGCCUGAUCCAGCCAUCCCGCGUGAAGGAUGACGGUUCUAUGGAUUGUAAACUUCUUUUGUACAGGGAUAAACCUGCCCUCGUAAGGGCAGCUGAAGGUACUGUACGAAUAAGCACCGGCUAACUCCGUGCCAGCAGCCGCGGUAAUACGGAGGGUGCGAGCGUUAUCCGGAUUUAUUGGGUUUAAAGGGUCCGUAGGCGUGCCUGUAAGUCAGUGGUGAAAUCUCAUAGCUUAACUAUGAAACUGCCAUUGAGACUGCAGAGCUUGAGUAAAUUUGGAGGGGCUGGAAUAAG